Molecule: microRNA, 22 nt
Filed under: Drosophila mojavensis
Lineage: Eukaryota; Metazoa; Arthropoda; Insecta; Diptera; Drosophilidae
Description: Dmo-Mir-1003_5p (mature (co-guide))
Source: RNAcentral
GUGAGUAAUCAGUUGUGGGUGG